Molecule: ribosomal RNA, 433 nt
Filed under: uncultured bacterium
Lineage: Bacteria
Description: partial 16S ribosomal RNA
Rfam family: Bacterial small subunit ribosomal RNA
Source: RNAcentral
AGCGAACGCUGGCGGCAGGCUUAACACAUGCAAGUCGAGCGGGCAGGCCGGGGUCAGCGGCAGACGUGUGAGUGACACGUGGGAACUUACCCUUCGGUUCGGUAUAACGCAGGGAAACUAGCGCUAAUACCAGAUACGCCCUUUUGGGGUAAGGUUUACUGCCGAAGGAUCGGCGCUCGUCAGAUUAGGUAGUUGGUGGUGUAAUGGCCUGCCAAGGCGACGAUGAGGAGCUGGUCUGGGAGCAUGAUCUGCCACGCUGGGAAUGAGACACGGCCCAGACUCCUACGGGAGAGAGCAGUGGGGAGCAUAGGACGAUGGAGGCAAGCCUAGUAAAGCCGUGUCGCGUGUGACAGGAAGGCCUUAGGGUUCCAAAGUCCUUUUGGCCGGGACGAUAGUGACGGUAACGGAUGAAGAAGCCCCGGCUAACUUCGUG